RNAcentral lists this long non-coding RNA (388 nucleotides) under Parus major (Great Tit). Its description in RNAcentral is "lncRNA (ENSPMJG00000006526.1)". The record is from RNAcentral. Lineage: Eukaryota; Metazoa; Chordata; Aves; Passeriformes; Paridae.
AUUCCCUCAGACCAUGCUAAUGGAGAAGUGAUCCACACCUACAGCUUUGGGAAGAGAAGUGCUCAACACUGAUCCCAGAGGAUGUGCCACUCACCAGGAAGCAGGAGAAGCAGAGCAGAUCCACAUGGAGCCCCAGAAUUAAGGGAGCCAUUCAUCUCGAGCUGAUUUGCAAGGAUAAACUGGAGCUGGGAGAGCAGCACUGACUCAGCUCAGCGUUCCUGGGCUCCUCCAGGGCUGCUCCAGGCAGGCAUCUUCAGGAAAGCCGCUCUGAAUUGACUUCCAAAUGAGAGUAAUUAAAGCAAACGAGGCCUUUGCAGGGAAGAGCUGCUGGCUGGAUGAUGCACUCGGCUCAAGGUAAUUGUCCCAGGGCAGAUCUCACGCUGUGGCG